RNAcentral lists this transfer RNA (77 nucleotides) under Peptoniphilus koenoeneniae. RNAcentral's name for it is "tRNA-Arg". It matches the Rfam family "tRNA". From Rfam's summary of the family: Transfer RNA (tRNA) molecules are approximately 80 nucleotides in length. Their secondary structure includes four short double-helical elements and three loops (D, anti-codon, and T loops). Further hydrogen bonds mediate the characteristic L-shaped molecular structure. tRNAs have two regions of fundamental functional importance: the anti-codon, which is responsible for specific mRNA codon recognition, and the 3' end, to which the tRNAs corresponding amino acid is attached (by aminoacyl-tRNA synthetases). tRNAs cope with the degeneracy of the genetic code in two manners: having more than one tRNA (with a specific anti-codon) for a particular amino acid; and 'wobble' base-pairing, i.e. permitting non-standard base-pairing at the 3rd anti-codon position. RNAcentral also lists the same sequence under 1 other name. The record is from RNAcentral. Lineage: Bacteria; Bacillati; Bacillota; Tissierellia; Tissierellales; Peptoniphilaceae.
GCGCCUUUAGCUCAGCUGGAUAGAGCGUUUGACUACGGAUCAAAAGGCCGGGGGUUCGAAUCCUCUAAGGCGCGCCA